This 423-nucleotide ribosomal RNA is filed under the name uncultured bacterium. RNAcentral's name for it is "partial 16S ribosomal RNA". It matches the Rfam family "Bacterial small subunit ribosomal RNA", at positions 359 to 774 of the family's 1533-position model. The record is from RNAcentral.
GAAUAUUGGACAAUGGGCGAAAGCCUGAUCCAGCCAUGCCGCGUGGGUGAAGAAGGCCUCCGGGUUGUAAAGCCCUUUUGUUGGGGAAGAAAUCCUGCUGGCUAAUACCCGGCGGGGAUGACGGUACCCAAAGAAUAAGCACCGGCUAACUUCGGGCCAGCAGCCGCGGUAAUACGAAGGGUGCAAGCGUUACUCGGAAUUGCUGGGCGUAAAGCGGGCGUAGUUGGUGGUUUAAGUCCGUUGUGAAAGCCCUGGGCCCAACCUGGGAAUUGCAGUGGAUACUGGGUCACUAGAGUGUGGUAGAGGGUGGCGGAUUUCCCGGUGUAGCAGUGAAAUGCGUAGAGAUCGGGAGGAACACCCGUGGCGAGGGCGGCCACCUGGGCCAACACUGACACUGAGGCACGAAAGCGUGGGGAGCAAACA